CUGAGUUUUUGGGGAAUCUGUUGAGUCGACUCAGACCGAGUUGGUCCCGAGUUACACCGCCAUAACAACGCCGAAGUGUUGGUGCUGGAGUUUCGGUUUUUAUCGCCACCGACCUUGAAUACCUUGUUUCGAUCUAAAGUCUGAACUCAGCCCAUAGAACAGUAGAGGAUGUAGAACUUGGACCAGACUGGGACCAGAAAGCCAACAGCCUGCUGCGUAAACAUUUUGGGUACUCCGGGUUGAAAAGUUUUCAAAUGGAAGCUCUUGGUGCUUGGUUUUCUCAGCAAGACUGUCUUGUUCUUGCAGCAACAGGGUCUGGUAUUUAUUUUCUGAUUCUUAUUCUCCCUUUUCUGUGCAUUUCUUCUUGAAUCCUUUGUACAAUGUAUAUACUGUGUCAAUGUUUUUGAGGCUUUAAUGUUUCUACGGGGAAAUCUCUGUGCUUUCAGCUACCUGCGCUUUUGACAGGGAAGGUCGUGGUCGUGAUUUCUCCAUUGAUAAGCUUGAUGCAUGACCAGUGCUUAAAGCUAUCAAAACAUGGCAUCUCUGCAUGUUUCCUUGGAUCAGGACAACCAGAUAACACCGUUGAGAAGAAAGCAAUGAACGGCAUGUAUUCCGUUGUAUACGUUUGCCUCGAAACACUGCUUAGCUUUCACUGUCUGAUGAGGUGUAUAAUGCAUACUAAUAAGUCCACUUCAGAGGCUUGCGGAGAACCGUGGAAUAGCUUUAUUUGCCAUCGAUGAAGUACAUUGUGUUUCAAAAUGGGGACAUGACUUUAGACCUGAU
Spinacia oleracea (spinach) is the source of this 783-nucleotide long non-coding RNA. RefSeq lists it as uncharacterized. The record is from RefSeq and is a predicted model, not a curated record. Lineage: Eukaryota; Viridiplantae; Streptophyta; Magnoliopsida; Caryophyllales; Amaranthaceae. The transcript is spliced from 3 exons.